This is a long non-coding RNA of Halichondria panicea, 825 nucleotides long. RefSeq lists it as uncharacterized. The record is from RefSeq and is a predicted model, not a curated record. The transcript has 3 exons. NCBI's taxonomy places the organism in Eukaryota, Metazoa, Porifera, Demospongiae, Suberitida, Halichondriidae.
UGUGUGUGUGUGUGUGUGUGUGUGUGUGUGUGUGUGUGUGUGUGUUGUGUGUGUGUGUGUGUGUGUGUGUGUGUGUGUGUGUGUGUGUGUGUGUGUGUGUGUGUGUGUGUGUGUGCGUGCGUGCGUGCGUGCGUGCGUGCGUGUGUGUGUGUGUGUGUGUGUGCGUGCGUGCGUGUGUGCGUGCGUGCGUGCGCGUGUGUGUGUGUGUGUAAGUACAAUGCAGUAGCAAACGAUAUUGAGGGUAGCAAUGAGGAGGAGGAUGAGGAGGAACUAACGCCGGAAAAGAAGAGGCAGCUCAUUGUUCGGGUUGCUAAGAGACAUCAGGGAGAUGCCAAUCUGCUGCAAUCACUUGGUUGUGAGAUGGCUACAAUGAUGUUUGUUGAUAAAAAGGUUUUAAGUGUGGGAACCACAGAUGGGAAAAAUUUCUUCAAUCUCACCCUGCAAUCCUGUCAUCCUUCAGCUCCUACUUUCUGUAUGAUGACCUGUCCAAAAAACAAUUUGCUACCCCAGCCACUGCAGCCUCGGCAAGUACAACCAGUCUCAACACAAAUUCCAGCUCAUUCAAUGUUACCUCAACAAACACAAACCCAAUCAACACCACCUCAUCUACUACAUCCAAAGCUGUUAUUUCCACUGUGAAGAAAUCAACCACUAAAACUACAACCAAAGCAACACCUUCUGGAAUCUUGUCCAAUCAAGCUAUUUCUAACACUGAUACCGUCAGUACGAUUUUUAUGAAAGGCAGAGAUGGAAGUAUUGUUGCGACAGGUACAGUGCUUCCUGGUGUACAUAAAACCAUUCAUGGUCGUCCUUGCCAAAAAGAUU